This 404-nucleotide ribosomal RNA is filed under the name uncultured bacterium. Its description in RNAcentral is "bacterial SSU rRNA". It matches the Rfam family "Bacterial small subunit ribosomal RNA", at positions 28 to 426 of the family's 1533-position model. The record is from RNAcentral.
GACGAACGCUGGCGGCGUGCCUAACACAUGCAAGUCGAACGGGGUCCAUGGGAGCUUGCUCCCGGAAGACCUAGUGGCGAACGGGUGAGUAACACGUGAGAAACCUGCCCUGGAGUGGGGAAUAACUCGGGGAAACUCGAGCUAAUACCGCAUACCCUCGGAUGGUCGCAUGGCCGACCGAGGAAAGAUUUAUCGCUUCAGGAGGGUCUCGCGGCCUAUCAGCUAGUUGGUGGGGUAACGCCUACCAAGGCAACGACGGGUAGCUGGUUUGAGAGAACGAUCAGCCACACUGGGACUGAGACACGGCCCAGACUCCUACGGGAGGCAGCAGUGGGGAAUCUUGCGCAAUGGGCGAAAGCCUGACGCAGCAACGCCGCGUGCGGGAUGACGGCCUUCGUGGUUGU